UCUAUAUUUGUUUUUCUUGUAGGUGCUAUCCAUAACUAACACAAUCGGAAAAAUAUUCAACAACUUAAUUGAAUCAGGAUGGGCCCAAAAUAUCUCUCUCACAACUUCCGAGUCAUCCUUUUUUCUACUCCAAUAGACAUAGCCUGCAUCCUCAAUAAGCUUAAACAGAUGUUGUAUCUCACUUCUAGGACCUCUUAUCUCUUUUUGUAUCACACUCUUAUGCUUGUAUACUUGCGUAAUCCGAGUGACAUUCUCAG
This 257-nucleotide long non-coding RNA is filed under the name Lathyrus oleraceus (garden pea). RNAcentral describes it as "Pisum sativum (pea) long non-coding RNA (PSAT_LNC022769)". Lineage: Eukaryota; Viridiplantae; Streptophyta; Magnoliopsida; Fabales; Fabaceae. The record is from RNAcentral.